Molecule: ribosomal RNA, 732 nt
Filed under: Gymnosoma fuliginosum
Lineage: Eukaryota; Metazoa; Arthropoda; Insecta; Diptera; Tachinidae
Description: SSU rRNA
Rfam family: Eukaryotic small subunit ribosomal RNA
Source: RNAcentral
CUGUAAUUGGAAUGAGUACACUUUAAAUCCUUUAACAAGGACCUAUUGGAGGGCAAGUCUGGUGCCAGCAGCCGCGGUAACUCCAGCUCCAAUAGCGUAUAUUAAAGUUGUUGCGGUUAAAACGUUCGUAGUUGAACUUGUGCUUCAUACGGGUAGUACAACUAUAAUUGUAGUUUGUACUGUACCUUAUGUAUGUAAGCGUAUUACCGGUGGAGUUCUUAUGUGUAAAUACUUUAUUUUCCUCCUAUUUAAACCUGCUUCAGUGCUCUUCAUCGAGUGUUGUUGUGGGCCGGUACAAUUACUUUGAACAAAUUAGAGUGCUUAAAGCAGGCUCCAAAUGCCUGAAUAUUUUGUGCAUGGAAUAAUGAAAUAAGACCCCUGUUCUACUUUCAUUGGUUUUUAGAUCAAGAGGUAAUGAUUAAUAGAAGCAGUUUGGGGGCAUUAGUAUUACGACGCGAGAGGUGAAAUUCUUGGACCGUCGUAAGACUAACUUAAGCGAAAGCAUUUGCCAAAGAUGUUUUCAUUAAUCAAGAACGAAAGUUAGAGGUUCGAAGGCGAUCAGAUACCGCCCUAGUUCUAACCAUAAACGAUGCCAGCUAGCAAUUGGGUGUAGCUACUAUCAUGGCUCUCUCAGUCGCUUCCCGGGAAACCAAAGCUUUUGGGCUCCGGGGGAAGUAUGGUUGCAAAGCUGAAACUUAAAGGAAUUGACGGAAGGGCACCACCAGGAGUGGA